RNAcentral lists this ribosomal RNA (759 nucleotides) under Triticum aestivum (bread wheat). RNAcentral's name for it is "partial small subunit ribosomal RNA". Lineage: Eukaryota; Viridiplantae; Streptophyta; Magnoliopsida; Poales; Poaceae. The record is from RNAcentral.
AUGGAUCACCACCAUCACCACCACCACCACCAUCAUCACAUGAUCCCUGGACAGGAGCCUUCGGCCGGGGACGGUGCACCCCAGGACAACUUCUUCCUCGGCCCCGCCGGCGUCGGCAUCUUCGGUGGCGUCGGCGGCGCGUCUGGGGCCGGCUCGUCCUCGUCUGGCGCCGCGGGGGGCGCCGGGACCUCGGCGGGUGGCAGUGGCGGAGGAGGCCCGUCGCCGUCAGGGUCGUCGCCGUCGCUGAGCCGGUACGAGUCGCAGAAGCGCCGGGACUGGAACACGUUCGGCCAGUACCUGAGGAACCACCGGCCGCCGCUGUCGCUGUCGCGGUGCAGCGGCGCGCACGUGCUGGAGUUCCUCAAGUACAUGGACCAGUUCGGCAAGACCAAGGUGCACACGGCGGUGUGCCCCUUCUACGGCCACCCGAACCCGCCGGCGCCGUGCCCGUGCCCGCUCCGCCAGGCCUGGGGCUCCCUCGACGCGCUCAUCGGCCGCCUCCGCGCCGCCUACGAGGAGAACGGCGGCACGCCCGAGAUGAACCCCUUCGGCGCGCGCGCCGUCCGCCUCUACCUUCGCGAGGUGCGCGAGACGCAGGCGCGGGCCAGGGGGAUCAGCUACGAGAAGAAGAAGCGCAAGAAGCCGUCGUCGUCUACGUCGGCCGCCGCGGGGCCGUCGUCCGAGGGGAGCCCGCCUCCUGGCCCGUCCGGCAGCGGCGGGGGCGACACGUCGGCGUCGCCACACUUCAUCAUGCCGUGA